RNAcentral lists this transfer RNA (77 nucleotides) under Gammaproteobacteria bacterium. RNAcentral describes it as "tRNA-Ile". It matches the Rfam family "tRNA". From Rfam's summary of the family: Transfer RNA (tRNA) molecules are approximately 80 nucleotides in length. Their secondary structure includes four short double-helical elements and three loops (D, anti-codon, and T loops). Lineage: Bacteria; Pseudomonadati; Pseudomonadota; Gammaproteobacteria. The record is from RNAcentral.
GGGCCUGUAGCUCAGGUGGUUAGAGCGCACCCCUGAUAAGGGUGAGGUCGGUGGUUCAAGUCCACCCAGGCCCACCA